RNAcentral lists this small nucleolar RNA (214 nucleotides) under Hucho hucho (huchen). RNAcentral's name for it is "Small nucleolar RNA SNORD17 (ENSHHUG00000022288.1)". It matches the Rfam family "Small nucleolar RNA SNORD17". Rfam says of the family: The snoRNA HBI-43 belongs to the C/D family of snoRNAs, guiding 2'O-ribose methylation at position U3797 of the 28S rRNA. Pseudouridylation in position U3797 is predicted to be guided by the H/ACA snoRNA ACA48. Lineage: Eukaryota; Metazoa; Chordata; Actinopteri; Salmoniformes; Salmonidae. The record is from Rfam by way of RNAcentral.
UUGAAAUGAUGAACUUGUUUAUCCAUUCGCUGAGUGCUGCUGGGCCCUGUCCUUGCAGCCCCCUGUGUCUGUUCUUGACUCAGGGGGUUCAGCGGCUUGACUCUUAUGUUUUUGCCCCAGUGUUCUACUGGGGUUAACUGCAUUGGGGGCAGGUAUGCUGGUGCAAUGGUUAAGGGACCGGCCACAACUAAGACGAGCGUAAACUCCUGAUCAC